RNAcentral lists this long non-coding RNA (2029 nucleotides) under Equus caballus (horse). RNAcentral's name for it is "lncRNA (ENSECAG00000056148.1)". Lineage: Eukaryota; Metazoa; Chordata; Mammalia; Perissodactyla; Equidae. The record is from RNAcentral.
UGGAACAGCAGGUGUCUAUGAUCUGCAGAGAAAAGAUGUGUUGCUAAGAAAGCCUGCCAUGCGCUCAAGCGUUCAGGUGUAUGCCAUGUAGGCUCGUUCUUCCAGGGUUGGGUCUGCUGUCACGCAGCCAAUGCAAGCAGCAGCUUUAUGGAGGGGGUUUCAGAAGAGCCGGGCUUGGUGGAGAUGGGCACUGUAAAAGUGAAUCCCCAAGAGCGAGCACUUCCUGAUGCACAUACAUUUCGAAUGACAGUCGUGUUGUGGAGAUGAGGAGGAUUGAGGCUUGGAGAAAAAUUGAUUUGUUGAAGUCCAUCCAAGUGAGCACGUGGCCUGACAGGAGCUGAUGAAGGAGCCUGACCUGAGUGCAGAGCGAAGAUACCAGUGGUGCCCAUUAGACAACGUCAGGAAACUUAGUGUGGAGGACCUGCUGGACACUGGCGCUGCUAGCAGAGAAAGGGAGCGAGGCAGGAUGGGCCAAUAGAAGCAGCAACAAGACUACAGGUCACAUCUACUGACUGUACGCCUGGUACCUGGUUUUUGGUCUGGAUCCCUCCAAUACGGCAUAAAGUCUACAAAAGCAAGUGCCUUGUCUGCUUAUUCACACUGAUUCCCUGGCACUGGAACAUUCUAUAGAGAUCCUGAAAAAGAGGAAACAGAGAAACAAACAAGCCAAAACGAUUGACAGAAGAAGCCUAGGGUGUGAUUAUUUACCUAUGCACGAUGGCAACAGAACUACUGAUUCAACCAGCAUAGUUCCUGGCCAGUGAGGACAUUGUCUGUAAAGUGCAGUUACAUGGGAACCUGCUCUGGAUUAAGGCCAUCUUUGUGUCUUGUGAAAAUGCUGCUGCUUUGGCUAGAGUCUCGACUCUUGGAGGAAGCUAAGCCUUUGGGAGCUCAACUGGUGAAAGCUACUUCCCUCCUUCUGAUUUGGGGCUGUAUUUUUCUUCUUACACAUGCAAAUAGGUGCUGAGAUUCAAUGUUAAUGUGCUCAUGGGGCAUUUGGGCAUUGUGUGUUAAAGCAUUUCUACAUGCGUCAACUUCUGGAGAUGAGAAUGGCAUCAAAUUUUAAACAAGCUACAAAGCUGGACCACAGUUGAAAGUGAAAAUCCUCUCCUAAGUACCAGUGACGAACAACUGAAUUCUUCUCUCUCCAUCUUGGAAUUGAUGUGCGCUUAGUGUGUUUUCAAAAGAAAAUAAAAGACUACUUUGGGAUCUGUUAAGAGUUUGAGGUCAGCAAACUGUUUCCUGUAAUUCAUAUGAUGCGAAGUUAUCUUAAAGUAGACUUGAUGAAAGCAACCCUGAGAGCCUGCCCAUACACAGGGCCCUGACGCUUGUCAUGCAAAGAUUUGUCACGGCUGCUGUUCCAUCUGAGAAAGAUGGACGUAUAGGAUUACGGACCAUGCAUCUAUCAAGAUCAAAAGUACUGUUUGGGAUUUAAGUUGCUACACUGAAGGAUUCACUGAUGCCAAGUAGAAUACCACCUAAAGUUCAUGAGGUGGUCCUUCAGCAGUACUAAAUGAAACAUUUAGGAAGGCCUCCCAAAUGACACUGCUCUACUCAGCAAAACGGCAUCUUGAUAUACUUAUUGUAGAAAUUCACAAGGCACUUCUAAUACAAAGACAGUCCACUAGAUGCAGUUUACAAAGUCAGAGAACAUGGGAAACGGUGCUGCAGAUCAGCUUACAUGGAGCACACUUGGAAGAAACUGACGCUGUUGGUGGUGGAGUAGAAAAACAAAAAGAAUGGAGGUCCUUGAUGGCACUGCCAACCAACCCUGAAGUCUGUCUAACCUCUGAACUACCAGGUCCCAUAGAAGAAAUGUGGGUCACUGGUGGGACCAUGGAGAGAAACCAGCUUCCUGAUGAAGAUUUUAAAAUAUUGUCACGAAUAUACAAGCAUUUAAAGUGAGCAGAGCUACUGAACAGAGAGGCUGCCUUAAGUUACACUGAAACAGAAGAGGAAGAUGUAUGAGUCAGUCUCAGAAGAGCUGUGGGGUCCAAACGGAUGAAAAGAGAGGAGGAAGAGCCAAAGG